CAGUAGCCGCGGGAAUACGUAGGGGGCUAGCGUUAUCCGGAAUUACUGGGCGUAAAGGGUGCGUAGGUGGUUUCUUAAGUCAGAGGUGAAAGGCUACGGCUCAACCGUAGUAAGCCUUUGAAACUGAGAAACUUGAGUGCAGGAGAGGAGAGUAGAAUUCCUAGUGUAGCGGUGAAAUGCGUAGAUAUUAGGAGGAAUACCAGUUGCGAAGGCGGCUCUCUGGACUGUAACUGACACUGAGGCACGAAAGCGUGGGGAGCAAACAGGAUUAGAUACCCCCGUAGUCCCUGUCUCUUAUACA
This 301-nucleotide ribosomal RNA is filed under the name uncultured bacterium. RNAcentral describes it as "partial 16S ribosomal RNA". It matches the Rfam family "Bacterial small subunit ribosomal RNA", at positions 509 to 808 of the family's 1533-position model. The record is from RNAcentral.